UCGUGCUAGACGGGGAACUAGCGGUGCCCUGUACCCGCAAUCCGCUAUAGCGGGGUCGAAUUCCCCCUCGAGGGUCUGUGCUUUCUGGGUCUACCGGGACUAAGUGGCAUUGAAGAUUGGGUCCUGCGCGGCAGGAGCCUGUGAACCCCGCCAGGUCCGGAAGGAAGCAGCGGUAAGUAGUCACUCCUGGGUGCCGCAGGGAUGCCUGGUUGGAGCUGGCUGGCCCCGGCAAGCCGGGGAGCCCGAUUCGACGGGGGGUGCACGG
Molecule: signal recognition particle RNA, 265 nt
Filed under: Anaerolineales bacterium
Lineage: Bacteria; Bacillati; Chloroflexota; Anaerolineae; Anaerolineales
Description: signal recognition particle sRNA large type
Rfam family: Bacterial large signal recognition particle RNA
About the family: The signal recognition particle (SRP) is a universally conserved ribonucleoprotein involved in the co-translational targeting of proteins to membranes. Archaeal SRP consists of a 7S RNA and homologues of the eukaryotic SRP19 and SRP54 proteins.
Source: RNAcentral